GUGUCAGCCGCCGCGGUAAUACGGAGGGGGCUAGCGUUGUUCGGAAUUACUGGGCGUAAAGCGCACGUAGGCGGCUUUGUAAGUCAGAGGUGAAAUCCCGGGGCUCAACCCCGGAACUGCCUUUGAGACUGCAAGGCUCGAAUCCAGGAGAGGUGAGUGGAAUUCCGAGUGUAGAGGUGAAAUUCGUAGAUAUUCGGAAGAACACCAGUGGCGAAGGCGGCUCACUGGACUGGUAUUGACGCUGAGGUGCGAAAGCGUGGGGAGCAAACAGGAUUAGAUACCCCCGUAGUCC
RNAcentral lists this ribosomal RNA (292 nucleotides) under uncultured bacterium. RNAcentral's name for it is "partial 16S ribosomal RNA". It matches the Rfam family "Bacterial small subunit ribosomal RNA", at positions 505 to 796 of the family's 1533-position model. The record is from RNAcentral.